Long non-coding RNA from Alexandromys fortis (reed vole), 9450 nucleotides. RefSeq lists it as uncharacterized. The transcript is spliced from 3 exons. Lineage: Eukaryota; Metazoa; Chordata; Mammalia; Rodentia; Cricetidae. The record is from RefSeq and is a predicted model, not a curated record.
GCUUCGCGGCUCGGCUCUGGCCGAGUUGACGCCCUUCCGCGUCUCUUAGAGCGAGUGUGCCCGUUGUCCCUUCUGUCCUCAUCCCUGAACCGGUACAGCAGCCUCUCCAUCCCGCUGGGUUUCUCUUGCUCACGAGUUUGCAAGCCUCCGGGUUUCCGCAGGGCCUCUCCCUCUGCCCUCUAAAGAUUCGUGCCCUCCUUCAUUUCCUGUAGAACCCGGAGCUCACUGCCUCUGCAACCGGGGUUGAGAUGUGAGAAACCUCGGAUUCCUCAGACUCCGAGGACCUGAAGGGCCAAGGAGCGGAGCAAAGAGGUUAAAAGUGCUUUGCGGGAUUGUCAUGGGUGAGGGGGAUAGGUGCAGAUGGCAUCGUUGGACGACCUUUAUGUUGGUUGGUUUUGCCCCCCAAACAAAAAAGAAUGGAUGCUCCUCUGUACCCUCUUUCCUGACCCUGUUUAUGGGAACUGUUCUUACACUGAUGUUGGAGUCGGAGGAAAUUGGAGCUGGAGCUGUGAUGAAGCAGCUCCUGAAGAGGUUUUAUUCCCACAAGCGCCGUUCAUAUGGAAAGGCACUUUGAACAAUCUUGUAUUGCAACGACCUAUUCCAGGAAAGCUUUACUUGUUUGAAGAAUGGAUGUGGAGACGUUUGAAUUUUUAGUUAGUAUACUUUGGAUACUGUUAAUUUCUUAGUGUUUUGAUUGCUGUUUCACUAGACUUUUCCACAUUAAAUUUUAGUUUUUUUUUUUAGUCUACUUCUGCAGAACUUUCCAGAAAUUAGGUUAAAAUAUAAUUUAAUACUGUCAGGGAUUGAACAAUUGCUGUCAUGUUCAAUCUGUAUUUACUGCUUUCCAAGGCAUUGUAGAAAGCAAAUGAUAAUCUCAAAAUAAUGGUACUCUGUACGUUGCAGGUUCUGUUAUUAUUCUGUAAGCUACUCUAAGGUAACUAUUUUUUGGAAAUAUUAUUUCUUUAAGAACAGUAAGUAUGUUUAGUCACCCUCCCUCCCAACAUCCUUUUAGCAGUCGAUUCUGUAACUUUGCACUUCCCAGGCCUUAGCAGUAAGCAGGCUCAGAAGAUGUAGCUCCAAAGUCUUCUGGAAAUACACUGUGGGACUCCUCACUUCUCAGAAUGUUGAUUGUCUUCCUUCUCCUUUCCUGGGUAUGUUCACUUGUGAAUGAAGUGCAUAUAUUUAUACAGCCUACCCUUAGGUAAAAGAUCAAAGGUAUUUUCAUAUAUGAGUAGAUACAGUUGAUGGAAGAAGUAUGAAUUAUUCUCCAUUGGUGGAAGUGAAAACUUUCCUCGGUGCUUUUAAUAGUUUAUUUUUCCCUUUGAGGCUGCAUAUAUCAUUCAUCUAGGUUAAAUUUUUAAGUGUUUCAAAUAUUGAGUUUUAUUUGGCACAUAUUGUCAAAAAAAGAUUUUGAGAGUCAGCUUAGUAUUGCCAGAGGAGUUUCUCUGCAUUAUCCUAAAAAUGCUUAGGUAUCUUAUUUACCUUCUCAAAAUGAUCUACCAGCCGUCUCUACAAGGAGCUUACUUUUGCUUUUUGGUUUGUAAAGACGAUGGGUAUUUAUAGCAAAGAAUUGGGAGCUCGUCCUCUUUGCUACUGGAGUGUGAAUGCUUCUGUGUGCUUUUACUCACGUGGUUAGGAUAGAUGGCUUGUGUCCAGUCCAACAACAUAGAUAUUUUGAACUGGAGCUUUUGAAGCUGAGUUUUAGCACGGAGACAGGAGAAUGAUGGAUGGUGUCAGUUUCCUUACACUGCGACCGUCAACUUAAGAUGCUUUAUUUUGGCUGAAGGCUUCAGAACAUGGUUGCUUGUUUUAGUUGUCUGCUUGUCUUGGGGGAACAGCCCCUUACUCUGUCAUACACACCAUGUUAUCAUGUCUCUCUGCAGUGAAGUUAGACCCUGCUUGCUCAUAGCUGGGAGGAAGCAAAGAAAAACAGGAAGCAGUCAGGAUCCUAAUGUUGCCUUCAAAAAUGACUACUUCUGGUCACUAGACCCCACUUGCUAAAGGUUACACCUCCUACCAAUAACACCACAGGCUGGUCAACGAGUCUUUUAACACACAGGCCUUUGGGGGGAUUCUUACCCAAUGCAUACCGUAUGCAAAAAUGACAAACAUGGGAUGCAGGGAAAAACAAAUACAGGCUUGGGCUGGGUUGAUCGCUCAGUGGUGGUGUGAACAUGUGGGAAGUCUGGGUUCAAUUCUCAGCGGAAGAAAAAGUUGGUAGUGUUUAGUACAUUUCAGUAGAGCCCCAAUCCUAUUCUUCAUAUUCCCAGACAUAAGCAAAAUUUAAAAAGUGUGUUGGGUACCUACAAUGUACUCAACAAAGUGGUAGAUACAGAUCUCUUGUUGCACUUACAACACUUGUAUCAGUACACUUUGUACUCAUCAAAUGGUUCUACUCACCAAUAUUUACCUUAGAAGCCUUCCCUUAAAACUGAGAAAUGAGGCAUUAAAAUUUGAAAAGUUGAGCAGAGUGGUAGAGAUGGCUUCGCGGGAAAGGUCUUGUCACCAAGCUUGAUAGCCUGAGUUGUCCCACACUUCCAAUGUGUGAGCAGAAACCUAUGGGGCAUGUGCGCGUAUGCGUGUGUGAACAGAUACACACACACACUCACACACACACCACGCACACUAAAUGUACACACUAUAAAGAAUGAAAGUCCAUCAUUAUUUUUAACAGUGUGCAUCUCUCAUACCCAGGAUGGCCUGGUACUUGACGUGAAACAAAGGAUUGCCUUAAAUUCCUGAUCCUCUGGCCUCGACCUCCCACGAGCUGAGAUUACUGGCGUGCAUCACCACGCCCUGAACCUAUAAGCUCUUAAUGCAAAGACAGGAUAAAUCAAGAGAAUUGGGAACUCCAGCCUGUGUUUGCUCUGCUAGCAGGAAUUCAGCCGCCUGGACAGGGGUCUGACAAUCAUGGCCAGUCAGAAGCUUCCUAGCAGGAAGGGGCGGGAGGCACCAAACGUAGGGGAAAAGAGCACGCGGAAGGUCCCAUCUUCUGCGCUUACUACACUGCCUCUAACUGUCGCCAGCUCCCAACUGAAGCUGCAGCUCGCCGCUCAGCAGCAGGGCGCCUAGGCACCGCGGCACGGGGAGCUGCAGUAUCUGGGGCCGGUGGAGCACAUUAUGCGCUGCGGUUUCAAGGAGGAGAACCGCACGAGCACAGGCACCUUUCGGUGUUCGGCAUGCAGGCGCCAUACAACCUGAGAGGUGACCGCGGCCAGUCCCCACUACCGGGAGGGACUGCGGGAGGACGAGCGACGGGCUGGGCGCAGAGGCGCGGGGCUGGCGGCCUCGGUAAGUCUGACCCCGGCUCAAAGAAUCCUACGCUCUGCGUUCCCGCCCUAGAGCCUCAAGGUGAUAGCUACUGCAGGUAAACCUGGUCCUUAAGGCUUCUUGUUCCUAACCCCCAUUAGGUUCCAACUGGUCGUGCAUCUCCGAGGGUCGGAGUAGAAGAAACCUGCCCAAACCUUGCCCUGAGGUCUCGACUGUGCUCCUCCUCUUCCUUCCCCUUAUCUCCUGCUCCCCUUUGCCGUGUUUUAAAAAGUGGCGCGAAAAUAGCUUAGGCGGUGUUAAAGAGGCACAGAAAAAAACAAACCAAGUCUGAGGUGGAAACUGGGGUUUUCCAAAACAGCCUUGGAUUUUAUAGAGCAACUCAGAGGAUGUGUAAGCCUACAGAGUGGCCCCGGGGAAGAAGUGCUCUUUUGGGGUUCCUGGCACCAAGCAUCAAGCACAAGACUUUGAGUGAGGGUUUACUUAUCUCAAGCAUGGUCUGGAGGAGGGAACUUUAGCAGCUACUGCACGGAUUAACCCAGUGCGCAGGGCCUCCUAGAACUCUGAUGCCCAGUUUUAGUCCCUCUCCUCUGCUUAUACUGUAGACAAGUUAUUCUUCUUCUCUAAUCUGCAUUCAGCUUUCCCACGUAGACCAUGUAGACGGUAAAGAGGAAAGUAUUGCUCUCUGACAAACAUAUACUCUGAGCCUGUCCUCUUUACCUUGUCUGUUGAUUGAGCUCCUGCCCUGCCCCUUUGUCUCUUCUGUUUUGCCUUCAGGUUCGGAGGCAUAAACAUUUCUGUUUUCUGAUGCUAGGUCAGUUUGCUCCCCAAAUGUCUGAAAACUUUUUCAGUUUUUACCAGAGUGAUAUCGCUCUGCCUGGAGCGUGGUGGACUUGGGUAUGAGAGCCUUUAGGUUGUGUCUAGGCCACAAUUUGGGUGUUGUUGUUAAACACCAGUGACAGUGAUAGUGGCUCAGUAGUGGGUGAGGACUUUUUCUCUUUGCCAUAUGGGUACCCCUGUGUCAAUGCAGACCUGUGAUUUCACUGACUUAGCCCGAAGCUGGGUGGGAGUUUCCAGUUUUCCUGAAGCCAAUCCAGGUGAAUUUCCUCUGCUCUCACCAAACGAGUGUUCUGGGAGGGCGUUUUGGAGGAAUUGCUGUGGUUUAUCAAGACUCUGUGUUACAGGUGUUAUAUUUAGGAACUGAUCUUCUGUUCCAUGCUUGGAAGGCUACUAUUCACAUUCCUAUCAGUUUCAGUGUGGUCCGAGUCAUAUUAAGGUCUGUAUCCCCUUUGGACUUGAGUAUUGUGCAUGGUGAUAGAUAUGGAUCUAUUUGCAGUCCUUUACAUGUUGAUAUCCAGUUAUGCCAUAACCAUUUGUUGCAGAUGCUUUCUUUUUUCAUUGUAUAAUUUUAGCUUAUUUGUCAAAAAUCAGGUGUUCAUAGAUGGGAGGAUUAAUAUCUGACUCUUUGAUUCAAUUCCGUCAUUCAACCUGUCUGUGUUUUUGCCCAUCAUCUCUUCCUCAAACCUCCAAAAUGAACUGUUUGCUUCAUUAAAACAUAUGUUCCCAGUAGUCUCAAUCAUCUCAAUGUACCAUUUUGAUAUUGUCCCGAGCAGUUUGUAGUCCAAACCUGAUGUUUAGAUGGUGAAACAAUAACAUAGUGCAGUUGAAAUCUUCCUUGCGUGACUCACACUUCUUUUGGAGACUUCAAAGGUCACUGUAAUGCACGCUCAUAUUUCAUUGCAAAAAACUUAAGCAUUUUAAUUGUCACAUGCUGCAGAUAUGUAAGAGGUUAAAGGAUGAGUAUUUGUUAUGUAUGCCUAGAUAACAGAUAGAGACUCAAGCCCAAAAUUAAAUACAGGAAGCUAGAUGAAACCUUUCCCUAGAAUUAGUUACUUCCCUGUAUGAUCAUUAAUAUUAUGGCUAAAGGGAUAUUUGUUGUUAAUCUCUCCCAAGAAAUUACUGUAAGCUCUUUUCCAAUGUUCACUUCCUGUCCAUAAUGAUUCAAUCUCAACAUUAGUAAAACAUGCUACAAUUUAACCUUGGUAAAUUCUUGCUAAUAGAUGAAGUUUCAGUUUUCUUUUUAAAAACAACUCAGUUUUUUUCCACAUAACUUUUUAGUUUUUUAGUAUGUUUAUAUGUUUAAAAUAUCGAUUAUAAGAUAAUAUCUUUCCUCUGCAGUAAAAUUUCUAUAGGAAAUACAUAGAAUAUAAAAUGUCUAGAAUGAAGGCCAGGAGGUGAUGGCUCAAGCCUUUAAUCCCAGCACUUGGAAGGCAGAGGCAGGUGGAGUUCAAGGCCAGCCUGGUCUAGAAGAGCUUGUCCAGGACACAUUCCAAAGCAACAAAGAAACCUGUAUCAAAAAAAGUCUUGAAUGUAAUCAAACUUCACAUCCAAACAAUCCAUAAGUGCCUCCUAUAAUUUCAUUUCCAUUAAACCAUUUUUUCUUCUGCUUUAGAUGAUAAUUCUCUUUGACUAUUUAAAUCCUUGUCACCUUUUAUGGUUUGAUUCUGAUUACUGUUUAUAAUUUUUUACUGCAAUAGUGGGAUAUAGAUGGUCAAUGUCUUUUUUUUUUCUUUAGUUGUUGAAGAAAAAAAAUUCCAGCCUCCUCCCCAUUUUCCAUUUCCCACCCCUCCUCCCACACACUGCCCCCUCCCCCUCUCCCCCCCACUCUAUUCCCCCUCCCUCUCGAGAAUGAAGAGCAGUCCAGAUUCCCUGCCCUAGGGAAGUCCAAGGUCCUCCCACUUCUAUCCAGGUCCAGGAGGGUGAGCAUCCAAACAGGCUAGGCUCCCACAAAGCCAGUUCAUGUAUUAGGAUCAAAACCUAGUGCCAUUGUCCUUGGCUACUCAUCAGCCUUCAUUGUCUGCCAUGUUCAGAAAGUUCGGUUUCAUCCCUUGCUUAUUCAGUCCCAGUCCUGCUGGCCUUGGUGAGCUCCCAAUAGAUCAGUUCCACUGUCACAGUGGGUGGGUGCACCCCUCGUGGUCCUGAGUUCCUUGCUCAUGUUCUCCCUCCUUCUGCUCCUCAUUUGGAUCUUAAGAGCUCAGUCCGGUGCUCCUAUUUGGGUCUCUGUCUCUAUCUUGAUCCAUCGCCAGAUGAAGGUUCUAAGGUGAUAUGCAAGAUAUUCAUCAGUAUGGCUAUAGGAUAGGGUCAUUUCAGGUUCCCUCUCCUCAGUUGCCCAAGGUACUAUCUGGGGUCAUCUCCCUCGACACCUGCGAGCCCCUCUAGAGUCAAGGCUCUUGCCAACCCUAAGAUGGCUUCCUUAAUUAGGAUAUAUAUUUCUCUGCUCCCGUGUCCCACCCAUCCCAUUCCCCCAUCCCAUUCCAUUCCCCUAAGCUCCCCCAAUCCUCCUCUUCUCACGUUUCUCACCCCAAUUCCCCUUAGCCCCAUACCACCUCACCCCCAAAUUCCCAGUUUUUUCCCGGCAAUCUUGUCUACUUCCCAUAUCCAGGCAGAUGAGUAUAUGUUUUUCUUUGGGUUCACCUUCUUAUUUAGCUUCUCUAGGAUCACAAAUUAUAUGCUCAAUGUCCUUUAUUUAUGGCUAGAAACCAAUUAUGAGUGAGUACAUCCCAUGUUCAUCUUUUUGGGUCUGGGAUACCUCACUCAGGAUAGUGUUUUCUAUUUCCAUCCAUUUGCAUGCAAAAUUCACCAAGUCAUUGUUUUUUUACCGCUGAGUAGUACUCUAAUAUGUAAAUGUUCCACACUUUCUUCAUCCAUUCUUCUAUUGAAGGGCAUCUAGGUUGUUUCCAGGUUCUGGCUAUUACAAAUAAUGCUGCUAUGAACAUAGUUGUACAAAUGCUUUUGUCAUAUGAAAGGGCAUCUCAUGGGUAUAUUCCCAAGAGUGGAAUUACUGGAUCUUGGGGUAGGUUGAUCUCAAAUUUCCUGAGAAACCGCCACACUGAUUUCCAAAGUGGUUGUACAAGUUUGCAUUCCCACCAGCAAUGGAUGAGUGUACCCCUUACUCCACAACCUCUCCAGCAAAGGCUAUCAUUGGUGUUUUUUAUUUUAGCCAUUCUGACAGGUGUAAGAUCUUAUCUCAAUGUUGUUUUAAUUUGCAUUUCCCUGAUUGCCAAGGAGGUUGAGCAUGACCUUAAGUGUCUUUUGGCCAUUUGAAUUUCUUCUGUCAAGAAUUCUCUGUUCAGUUCAGUGCCCCAGUUUUUAAUUGGAUUAAUUAGCAUUUUAAAGUCUAGUUUCUUGAGUUCUUUAUAUAUUUUGGAGAUCAGACCUUUGUCUAUUGCAGGAUUGGUGAAGAUCUUCUCCCAGUCAGUGGGCUGCCUUUUUGUCUUAGUGACAGUGUCCUUUGCUUUACAGAAGCCUCUCAGUUUCAGGAGGUCCCAUUUAUUCAAUGUUGUCCUUAAUGUCUGUGCUGCUGGGGAUAUAUGUAGGACGUGAUCUCCUGUGCCCAUAUGUUAUAGAGUACUUCCCACUUUCUCUUCUAUUAGGUUCAGUGUGUUCAGCCUGAUAUUGAGGUCUUUGAUCCAUUUGAACUUGAGUUUUGUGCAUGGUGAUAGAUAUGGAUCUAUUUUCAUUCUUCUACAGGUUGACAACCAGUUCUGCCAGCACCAUUUGUUGAAGAUGCUUUCUUUCUUCCAUUGAAUACUUUUAGCUCCUUUAUCAAAAAUGUUCAUAGGUUUGUGGGUUAAAAUCUGGGUCUUCUACUCUAUUCCAUUGAUUGACUUCUCUGUUUUUAUGCCAAUACCAAGCUGUUUUCAAUACUGAAGGAAGCUCUGUAAUAGAGUUUGAAGUGAGGGAUGGUAAUGCCUCCAGAAGUUCCGUUAUUGUAUAAGAUUGUUUUGGCUAUCCUGGGUUUUUUGUUUUUCCAUAUAAAGUUGAUUAAUGUCUUCUCAAGAUCAGUGAAGAAUUUCGAUGGGAUUUUAAUGGGGAUUGCAUUUAAUCUAUAAAUUGCCCUUGGUAGAAUUGCCAUUUUAACUAUGUUGAUCCUCCCAAUCCAAGAGCAAGGGAGAUCCUUCCAUUUUCUGGUAUCCUCCUCAAUUUCUUUCUUCAAAGACUUAAAGUUCUUGUCAAAUAGAUCAUUCGCUUCCUUGGUUAGAGUUACCCCAAGAUAUUUUAUGCUAUUUGUGGCUAUUGUGAAAGGUGAUGCUUCUCUGAUUUCCCUCUCUGCUUCCUUAUCCUUUGUGUAUAGGAGGGCAACUGAUUUUUUGGAAUUGAUUUUGUAUCCUGCCAUGCUACUAAAGGUGUUUAUCAGCUGUAGGAGUUCUUUGGUCGAGCUUUUGGGGUCGCUUAUGUACACUACCAUAUGAUCUGCAAAUAAUGAAAGUUUAAUUUCUUCCUUACCAAUUCGAAUUCCUUUGAUCCCCUUAUGUUGUCUUAUUGCUAUUCCUAGAACUUCAAGGACUAUAUUGAAGAGGUAUGGAGAGAGUGGACAGCCUUGUCAUGUUCCUGAUUUUAGUGGAAUGGCUUUUAGUUUCUCUCCAUUUAAUUUGAUGUUAGCUGUCGGCUUGCUAUAAAUAGCUUUUAUUAUAGUUAGGUAUGACCAUUGUAUCCCUAAUCUCUCUGAGACCUUUAUCAUAAAGAAAUGUUGAAUUUUGUCAAAUGCUUUUUCAGCAUCUAAUGAAAUGAUCAUAUGGUUUUUUUCUUUCAGUUUAUUUAUAUGAUAGAUUACAUUGAUAGAUUUUCGUGUGUUGAACCAGCCCUGCAUUCCUGGGAUGAAGCCUACUUGAUCAUAAUGGAUAAUUUCUCUAAUGUGUUCUUGGAUUCGGUUUGCCAGUAUUUUAUUGAUGAUUUUCGCAUCGAUGUUCAUGAGUGAGACUGGCCUGUAAUUUUCUUUCUUGGUUGAGCCUUUGUGUGGUUUUGGUAUCAGGAUAACUGUAGCUUCACAGAAGGAAUUUGGCAAUGACUUUUCUGUUUCUAUAUUGUGAAAUACAUUAAAGGAGUAUAGGUAUUAGGUCUUCUUGGAAGUUCUGGUAGAAUUCUGCAUUGAAACCGUCUGGACCUGGGCUUUUUUUGGUAGGGAGGUUUUUUAUAACAACUUCUAAUUCUUUGUGACUAACAGGUCUAUUUAGAUUGUUCACCUGGUCCUGGUCUAACUUUGGUAUAUGGUACUUAUCUAAAAAAGUGCCCAUUUCUUUAAUAUUUUUCAAUUUUGUGGCAUACAGGCCUUUGUAGUAAGAUCUAAUGCUUUUCUGAGUUUCCUCUGUGUCUGUGGUUAUGUCUCCCUUUUCAUUUCUGAUC